GAGUUUGAUCUGGCUCAGAUUGAACGCUGGCGGCAUGCCUUACACAUGCAAGUCGAACGGCAGCAUGAUCUAGCUUGCUAGAUUGAUGGCGAGUGGCGAACGGGUGAGUAAUACAUCGGAACGUGCCCUGUAGUGGGGAUAACUAGUCGAAAGAUUAGCUAAUACCGCAUACGACCUGAGGGUGAAAGUGGGGGACCGCAAGGCCUCAUGCUAUAGGAGCGGCCGAUGUCUGAUUAGCUAGUUGGUGGGGUAAAGGCCCACCAAGGCGACGAUCAGUAGCUGGUCUGAGAGGACGAUCAGCCACACUGGGACUGAGACACGGCCCAGACUCCUACGGGAGGCAGCAGUGGGGAAUUUUGGACAAUGGGGGCAACCCUGAUCCAGCAAUGCCGCGUGUGUGAAGAAGGCCU
RNAcentral lists this ribosomal RNA (410 nucleotides) under uncultured microorganism. Its description in RNAcentral is "bacterial SSU rRNA". It matches the Rfam family "Bacterial small subunit ribosomal RNA", at positions 9 to 417 of the family's 1533-position model. The record is from RNAcentral.